RNAcentral lists this transfer RNA (71 nucleotides) under Cynoglossus zanzibarensis (Zanzibar tonguesole). Its description in RNAcentral is "tRNA-Ser". It matches the Rfam family "tRNA". Rfam says of the family: Transfer RNA (tRNA) molecules are approximately 80 nucleotides in length. Their secondary structure includes four short double-helical elements and three loops (D, anti-codon, and T loops). Lineage: Eukaryota; Metazoa; Chordata; Actinopteri; Pleuronectiformes; Cynoglossidae. The record is from RNAcentral.
AAGGAAGUGACAGAGUGGUUACGUAAGCGGCUUGAAACCGCUGCACGGGGGUUCGAUUCCUCCCUUUCUCG